Manis javanica (Malayan pangolin) is the source of this 613-nucleotide non-coding RNA. Lineage: Eukaryota; Metazoa; Chordata; Mammalia; Pholidota; Manidae. The record is from RefSeq and is a predicted model, not a curated record.
CACUAACAUGAUGAGGAAGAUAUCAUUAAAGAAGAAACUGAAGCGUGGAGCUAAAGUAAAUACAACAAGGUGGGAUUUAAGCAAAAGGCCUGCCUUCCUGUCUCCUGUGCACCACAGCCCCAGAGUAGGACACUCAGAAGGGAGCAGUGAUGACCGUGUCCAACACCUGUGUCCCUAAGUCAAGACCCACCCAAGACUGUGGUAGGUCAUGUUCGGAGCAAUGCUUUCCUGUGGCUGAGGCCUGCCUGCCUUUGGAAAGUGCCAGGAGCCAGGAUGGAGAGUGAUGGAGGCGAGAACCUGCCCAUCCAUUCUGACUCCACUCUAAGUCAGGAGGAAGGAAUAUUUCUUAGACCUUCUGCGAUGUGACCAAGCUCCUAUACCUGGGAACUGAGUCAGAAGCCCAGCUAUCAUUGGAUCCAUUUCUUACCUUCCUGAUUCAUCUUCGCUAGAGGACAAUAAUAGAUACUGAAGUUAUCUUCAACUCCCCACUAUGCAACCUGAUAGCAGCAGAUUCCCUGUUCCUCAUCCUAAGGGUAAACCCCCAACCUCACCAACUCCGUUUCCUGCUCUUCUCUUGAUUUGAGGACAUUGUUUAUUUAUACCACGGUAAGGC